AAUCAACGCUGGCGGCGUGCCUCAGACAUGCAAGUCGAACGAGAACCUCCCUUCGGGGAGGAGACAGUGGCGUCACGGGUGAGUAACACGUGGGUAAUUUACCUUUGGGUGGGGAACAACAGCCGGAAACGGCGUGCUAAUACCGCAUAAUGCAGCGGCUCGACAUCGAGACAGUUGUUAAAGCGGGGGAUCGCAAGACCUCGCGCCUGAAGAGAAGUCCUGCGG
This 225-nucleotide ribosomal RNA is filed under the name uncultured bacterium. RNAcentral describes it as "partial 16S ribosomal RNA". It matches the Rfam family "Bacterial small subunit ribosomal RNA", at positions 32 to 236 of the family's 1533-position model. The record is from RNAcentral.